UUAAGCGACUAAGCGUACACGGUGGAUGCCCUGGCAGUCAGAGGCGAUGAAGGGCGUGCUAAUCUGCGAUAAGCGCCGGUAAGGUGAUAUGAACCGUUAUAACCGGCGAUACCCGAAUGGGGAAACCCAGUGUGACUCGUCACACUAUCAUUAACUGAAUCCAUAGGUUAAUGAGGCGAACCGGGGGAACUGAAACAUCUAAGUACCCCGAGGAAAAGAAAUCAACCGAGAUUCCCCCAGUAGCGGCGAGCGAACGGGGAGGAGCCCAGAGCCUGAAUCAGCAUGUGUGUUAGUGGAAGCGUCUGGAAAGGCGCGCGAUACAGGGUGACAGCCCCGUACACAAAAGCGCAUGUGCUGUGAGCUCGAUGAGUAGGGCGGGACACGUGGUAUCCUGUCUGAAUAUGGGGGGACCAUCCUCCAAGGCUAAAUACUCCUGACUGACCGAUAGUGAACCAGUACCGUGAGGGAAAGGCGAAAAGAACCCCGGCGAGGGGAGUGAAAAAGAACCUGAAACCGUGUACGUACAAGCAGUGGGAGCACCCUUUGGGUGUGACUGCGUACCUUUUGUAUAAUGGGUCAGCGACUUAUAUUCUGUAGCAAGGUUAACCGAAUAGGGGAGCCGGAGGGAAACCGAGUCUUAACCGGGCGUUAAGUUGCAGGGUAUAGACCCGAAACCCGGUGAUCUAGCCAUGGGCAGGUUGAAGGUUGGGUAACACUAACUGGAGGACCGAACCGACUAAUGUUGAAAAAUUAGCGGAUGACCUGUGGCUGGGGGUGAAAGGCCAAUCAAACCGGGAGAUAGCUGGUUCUCCCCGAAAGCUAUUUAGGUAGCGCCUCGUGAAUUCAUCUCCGGGGGUAGAGCACUGUUUCGGCUAGGGGGCCAUCCCGGCUUACCAACCCGAUGCAAACUGCGAAUACCGGAGAAUGUUAUCACGGGAGACACACGGCGGGUGCUAACGUCCGUCGUGAAGAGGGAAACAACCCAGACCGCCAGCUAAGGUCCCAAAGUCAUGGUUAAGUGGGAAACGAUGUGGGAAGGCCCAGACAGCCAGGAUGUUGGCUUAGAAGCAGCCAUCAUUUAAAGAAAGCGUAAUAGCUCACUGGUCGAGUCGGCCUGCGCGGAAGAUGUAACGGGGCUAAACCAUGCACCGAAGCUGCGGCAGCGACACUGUGUGUUGUUGGGUAGGGGAGCGUUCUGUAAGCCUGUGAAGGUGUGUCGUGAGGCAUGCUGGAGGUAUCAGAAGUGCGAAUGCUGACAUAAGUAACGAUAAAGCGGGUGAAAAGCCCGCUCGCCGGAAGACCAAGGGUUCCUGUCCAACGUUAAUCGGGGCAGGGUGAGUCGACCCCUAAGGCGAGGCCGAAAGGCGUAGUCGAUGGGAAACGGGUUAAUAUUCCCGUACUUGGUGUUACUGCGAAGGGGGGACGGAGAAGGCUAUGUUGGCCGGGCGACGGUUGUCCCGGUUUAAGCGUGUAGGUGUGUGUUCCAGGUAAAUCCGGUUCACUUUAACACUGAGGCGUGACGACGAGGCACUACGGUGCUGAAGCAACAAAUGCCCUGCUUCCAGGAAAAGCCUCUAAGCAUCAGGUAACAUCAAAUCGUACCCCAAACCGACACAGGUGGUCAGGUAGAGAAUACCAAGGCGCUUGAGAGAACUCGGGUGAAGGAACUAGGCAAAAUGGUGCCGUAACUUCGGGAGAAGGCACGCUGACACGUAGGUGAAGUGAUUUACUCAUGGAGCUGAAGUCAGUCGAAGAUACCAGCUGGCUGCAACUGUUUAUUAAAAACACAGCACUGUGCAAACACGAAAGUGGACGUAUACGGUGUGACGCCUGCCCGGUGCCGGAAGGUUAAUUGAUGGGGUCAGCGCAAGCGAAGCUCCUGAUCGAAGCCCCGGUAAACGGCGGCCGUAACUAUAACGGUCCUAAGGUAGCGAAAUUCCUUGUCGGGUAAGUUCCGACCUGCACGAAUGGCGUAAUGAUGGCCAGGCUGUCUCCACCCGAGACUCAGUGAAAUUGAACUCGCUGUGAAGAUGCAGUGUACCCGCGGCAAGACGGAAAGACCCCGUGAACCUUUACUAUAGCUUGACACUGAACAUUGAGCCUUGAUGUGUAGGAUAGGUGGGAGGCUUUGAAGUGUGGACGCCAGUCUGCAUGGAGCCGACCUUGAAAUACCACCCUUUAAUGUUUGAUGUUCUAACGUGGACCCGUUACCCGGGUUGCGGACAGUGUCUGGUGGGUAGUUUGACUGGGGCGGUCUCCUCCUAAAGAGUAACGGAGGAGCACGAAGGUUGGCUAAUCCUGGUCGGACAUCAGGAGGUUAGUGCAAUGGCAUAAGCCAGCUUGACUGCGAGCGUGACGGCGCGAGCAGGUGCGAAAGCAGGUCAUAGUGAUCCGGUGGUUCUGAAUGGAAGGGCCAUCGCUCAACGGAUAAAAGGUACUCCGGGGAUAACAGGCUGAUACCGCCCAAGAGUUCAUAUCGACGGCGGUGUUUGGCACCUCGAUGUCGGCUCAUCACAUCCUGGGGCUGAAGUAGGUCCCAAGGGUAUGGCUGUUCGCCAUUUAAAGUGGUACGCGAGCUGGGUUUAGAACGUCGUGAGACAGUUCGGUCCCUAUCUGCCGUGGGCGCUGGAGAACUGAGGGGGGCUGCUCCUAGUACGAGAGGACCGGAGUGGACGCAUCACUGGUGUUCGGGUUGUCAUGCCAAUGGCACUGCCCGGUAGCUAAAUGCGGAAGAGAUAAGUGCUGAAAGCAUCUAAGCACGAAACUUGCCCCGAGAUGAGUUCUCCCUGAGACUUAGAGUCUCCUGAAGGAACGUUGAAGACGACGACGUUGAUAGGCCGGGUGUGUAAGCGCAGCGAUGCGUUGAGCUAACCGGUACUAAUGAACCGUGAGGCUUAACCUU
This 2902-nucleotide ribosomal RNA is filed under the name Salmonella enterica. Its description in RNAcentral is "bacterial LSU rRNA". It matches the Rfam family "Bacterial large subunit ribosomal RNA". The record is from RNAcentral. RNAcentral also lists the same sequence under 1 other name. Lineage: Bacteria; Pseudomonadati; Pseudomonadota; Gammaproteobacteria; Enterobacterales; Enterobacteriaceae.